RNAcentral lists this ribosomal RNA (637 nucleotides) under uncultured archaeon. Its description in RNAcentral is "bacterial SSU rRNA". It matches the Rfam family "Archaeal small subunit ribosomal RNA", at positions 21 to 637 of the family's 1478-position model. The record is from RNAcentral.
CCCCACUGCUAUCGGGGUGGGACUUAGGCAUGUUAGUUUGUGUCUUCAAGCUAUGGUGAGGACACGGCGGACGGCUCAGUAACACGUAGCUAACCUGCCCUCGGGACGGAGAUAACCCCGGGAAACUGGGGCUAAUACCCGAUAGGUGAGAAGGCCUGGAAUGGUUUCUCGCCUAAAGGAUGUGGAGCCAUGCUUCCAAUAUCGCCCGAGGAUGGGGCUGCGGCCGAUCAGGUAGUUGGUGAGGUAACGGCUCACCAAGCCUUUAACCGGUACGGGCCGUGAGAGCGGGAGCCCGGAGAUGGGCACUGAGACAAGGACCUAGGCCCUACGGGGCGCAGCAGUCGCGAAAACUCCGCAAUGCGCGCAAGCGCGACGGGGCUACCCCGAGUGCCGUCCGCUGAGGAUGGCUUUUCUCUGGUGUAAUGAGCCGGAGGAAUAAGGGGAGGGCAAGACUGGUGUCAGCCGCCGCGGUAAUACCAGCUCCCCGAGUGGUGGGGAUGUUUAUUUGGCCUAAAGCGUCCGUAGCCUGCUCAGUAAGUCCUCCGUUAAAUCCGACGAUCUAAUCGUUGGGCUGCGGGGGAUACUGCAUGGCUAGGGGGCGGGAGAAGUCGACGGUACUCUUGAGGUAGGGGUGAAA